GUUUUGGUGAUGGUGAUGUGUUUUUACAUCUUACUUUACAGAACAUUCUUGCUGCUUAAAAUUAUCUCUAUCUAUAAUGAACUUGGCCCAUUAGUUUCAGUGGAAAAUGUUAGUAAAAAUUUACAAAUUUUAUGAAAAUUGUUAAAAAUUGACUAUAAAGAACAAUUACUCCUAAGGGGGUCAAUUGACCAUUUCGAUCAUGUUGACUUAUUUGUAAAUCUUACUUUGCUGAACAUUAUUGUUGUUUACAGUUUAUCUCUAUCAAUAAUAAUAUUCAAGAUAAUGACAAA
RNAcentral lists this long non-coding RNA (290 nucleotides) under Mytilus galloprovincialis (Mediterranean mussel). Lineage: Eukaryota; Metazoa; Mollusca; Bivalvia; Mytilida; Mytilidae. The record is from RNAcentral.